GGUAACAUCGAUUUUUGGCAAGCCAACAUCGAUAUUUUUCAUCUCUAACUGCUCUUCAAAUCGGAAAACGUGCAAAUUUGUUCUGUUGGUGGUGUUGGAUAGAGAAUUUCCAUUUAUUGGUGCAUAUGUAUGUAUGCACAUAUGCCUAUGCUUGAAUGCUUGAUUGCACGUAAGCACAUGUCUUGAACCUGAAAAUCAGAUGAGAAUGAACAGGAGCUAGCUCCAAAAAAGAAGAGGAAAGCUUUCAUUUCUCGGGAUCAUCGGUCCAGAAAUUUGGUUUACGUUCCCGCUUCAUCGUGUGAGUCAAAACGCGUUUUUAGCAAACCUGGACAAAUGAUUUCCGACCGUCGGACUUUCUUCAUUCGUCGUCCAUGGACUGCGUUGGAACAGGGCUCAACUGCAAAAACAUCGGCUAAUAGGGUAUUUCCACAGAGAUCCAUCCACCUUCCACCAUUCGUUGAAGGGAUGGUCCAUAAGGUUUUGCCGGUCCAAAAACUUCCCAGUUAGUCCGCCGUUAAACUUUGACGGACUUUAACGCACAAAUUUAUGCGAUGGAUGGAUCUCUGUGGAAAUAGUCUAUAAAGAUAGAAACACUAUCAGGCCUGUUCCGGUUUUUAUUUGGAAGUGCAUUUGAUAACAUUUUCAAAUAACCCUUUAACAUAGGCAAAUUGCACUUCUUUUGGUCCUUUAUGUUCCCAAACAAAAUCAGUUGACUGGCAGCUGACCCCUAUUGACAAGGGCGUUUGAUUUGUCAGAGUUUUGCUGCCUCAGGGCUGAUAACAUUUUUGCCCGCUGGUGUUCCUUAGCUUAUGGGAUUAAUGGUAUACAAAUUUUAGCGCAUAAAAUCGAAGGAACUAGCAUUGGCGGCCAAAAAUAUAAAUUUUCAAAUUUUUGUACGCCGCAUUUAGCCUGUGCUAGAAAAUGCUGGUGUCAGUGCUGUUAACUUUUCACAAAUAGUGUUGAGAACCAGAGUUGUCAGAAUUUUACGGAAGUAAACAGAGAAUUAACAGAGGGAAUUUAGAUUCCGUGUGAAUUUUUCGGAAGUGAAAACUGGGACGUGUCUGGGAUAUUCGAAUCCGUGUGAAUCUUUCGGAAGUAAAACCUGAACAGGCCUGCAUAUGCAAACAUCACUGCUCCUAUUAAAUUAAUUAAAAAUUAUAAACUGUCGACGUGUUUGGAAAAUCACUGAAGAAAGGGAAAUAGCCAAUUCAAAUUCAAGCCUGUUUCCACACAGUCCAUGGAAACGGUUAGAAUUUUUUGACAAAUGUGAAACUCCGAAAUCCACCCUCCGUUUUCAUGACAUUUCAAGUUAUACUGAACCGAUUCCUUUGAAAAUUGGCAUAUAUAUUGUUUAUACUACUCCCUAUCGCGUCUACCUCGGACUUGACAAAAUUUUGAUUAAAAUAUUUGAAAAUGUCAAAUAAGUGGUUAAAAAACAUUUUUUGUUUUCAAGUCGUUUGUUGAAAGUGGUCGACCCGAUAACGGAAUUUUUACUAAUGAACAAUUUGUUUGAAAUCAUAUCAACCAGGACGCCGCGAUUUUUUCGAAGACCCCACACUCUGCGAAUGUUAAUUUUUUUAUAUUUUGUUUAUUUUCUGUUUUCUUAAAAU
Molecule: long non-coding RNA, 1610 nt
Organism: Drosophila elegans
Lineage: Eukaryota; Metazoa; Arthropoda; Insecta; Diptera; Drosophilidae
Exons: 3
Source: RefSeq, a predicted model, not a curated record